AAAGGGAAAAAGUACGAAAGGGAAAGACAGGCAGGAAGGAAGGGAUGUUAUAUCUCGCACUCUUUAAAAGUAAAAAAUAGAAAAUAAAGACCUUGUCCUGUUUGUAGGUGUAAAGUGAGAGCGAGAGAGAUCAGUGUGUUGAAUAAUUGCAAACAAUAGGUGGUGAAAAAUAGAGGAAACGUUCUCGGAAGCCACCACCUCAUUGUAGAAAUCCCCGCACCAAAUCCAGGCUUCCUUUAACCAGCCUCCUCCUGGUGACAAAUGCCACGCUGUGAUUGGUUAAUGGCUUUCUUCUGAGUGGCAGCCAUCCUAUGGGGUCGUCUAAACCGAGGAAAAUGGAAGGGGAGUGAAAGGCGCCAAUCUGUACGACUAAUGAGAUAUCGGAGCUGACAUCUUUGUGGUUUUGGUUGCGGUCCCCACAUGGUUGGAUAAAAUUGAAUAACU
This is a long non-coding RNA of Oreochromis aureus, 444 nucleotides long. Lineage: Eukaryota; Metazoa; Chordata; Actinopteri; Cichliformes; Cichlidae. The record is from Ensembl.